Molecule: small nuclear RNA, 104 nt
Organism: Otolemur garnettii (small-eared galago)
Lineage: Eukaryota; Metazoa; Chordata; Mammalia; Primates; Galagidae
Source: Ensembl
GUGCCUUUGUCAGCACAUAUACUAAAAUUGCAAUGAUACAGAGAAGAUUGGCGUGGUCCCUACGUAAGGACGCCAUGCAAAUUCGUGAAGCAUUCUGUAUUUUU